AGUGAACGCUGGCGGUAGGCCUAACACAUGCAAGUCGAACGGCAGCACAGUAAGAGCUUGCUCUUACGGGUGGCGAGUGGCGGACGGGUGAGGAAUACAUCGGAAUCUACUUUUUCGUGGGGGAUAACGUAGGGAAACCUACGCUAAUACCGCAUACGACCUACGGGUGAAAGCAGGGGAUCUUCGGACCUUGCGCGAUUGAAUGAGCCGAUGUCGGAUUAGCUAGUUGGCGGGGUAAAGGCCCACCAAGGCGACGAUCCGUAGCUGGUCUGAGAGGAUGAUCAGGCACAAUGGAACUGAGAAACGGUCCAGACUCCUACGGGAGGCAGCCGUGGGGAAUAUUGGACAAUGGGCGGAAGCCUGAUCCAGCCAUACCGCGUGGGUGAAGAAGGCCUUCGGGUUGUAAAGCCCUUUUGUUGGGAAAGAAAAGCAGCAGGUUAAUACCCCGCUGUUCUGACGGUACCCAAAGAAUAAGCACCGGCUAACUUCGUG
Molecule: ribosomal RNA, 492 nt
Filed under: uncultured bacterium
Lineage: Bacteria
Description: partial 16S ribosomal RNA
Rfam family: Bacterial small subunit ribosomal RNA
Source: RNAcentral